AAGUCGUAACAAGGUUUCCGUAGGUGAACCUGCGGAAGGAUCAUUACUGAAUAAACCUGGCAGGUUGUUGCUGGCUCUUCCGGGAGCAUGUGCACACCGGUCAAUUUUAUCUUACCACCUGUGAACACUUUGUAGAUUUGGAGGCAUCUUCACGGACUUUGUCUGUGGUUUUUGGAAGUUGUCGUGCCUCUGUGCGCGGCUCUUCCUGGCCUUCAGGUCUAUGUUUUUACAUCUACUCCAUAGCAUGUAAAUGAACGAAUCAAUGGCAGCUUUUAUGCAGCCUAUAAAACUUGUACAACUUUCAGCAACGGAUCUCUUGGCUCUC
This 325-nucleotide unclassified non-coding RNA is filed under the name Bolbitius sp. RNAcentral describes it as "partial internal transcribed spacer region". The stretch from base 1 to 46 matches the Rfam family "Eukaryotic small subunit ribosomal RNA", at positions 1786 to 1831 of the family's 1831-position model. The record is from RNAcentral. Lineage: Eukaryota; Fungi; Basidiomycota; Agaricomycetes; Agaricales; Bolbitiaceae.